This 434-nucleotide ribosomal RNA is filed under the name uncultured bacterium. RNAcentral describes it as "partial 16S ribosomal RNA". It matches the Rfam family "Bacterial small subunit ribosomal RNA", at positions 29 to 507 of the family's 1533-position model. The record is from RNAcentral.
AGCGAACGCUGGCGGCAGGCCUAACACAUGCAAGUCGAACGAACCUUUCGGGGUUAGUGGCGGACGGGUGAGUAACACGUGGGAACGUGCCUUUAGGUUCGGAAUAACUCAGGGAAACUUGUGCUAAUACCGAAUGUGCCCUUCGGGGGAAAGAUUUAUCGCCUUUAGAGCGGCCCGCGUCUGAUUAGUUAGUUGGGUGAGGUAAUGGCUCACCAAGGCGACGAUCAGUAGCUGGUCUGAGAGGAUGAUCAGCCACAUUGGGACUGAGACACGGCCCAAACUCCUGCGGGCGGCAGCAGUGGGGGAUCUUGCGCAAUGGGCGAAAGCCUGACACAGCCAUGCCGCGUGAAUGAUGAAGGUCUUAGGAUUGUAUAAUUCUUUCACCGGGGACGAUAGUGACGGUACCCGGAGAAGAAGCCCCGGCUAACUUCGUG